CCCGAGCUGUCGCCCCCUUCAUCGUGGC
RNAcentral lists this small RNA (28 nucleotides) under Bombyx mori (domestic silkworm). Its description in RNAcentral is "ovarian small RNA-13684". Lineage: Eukaryota; Metazoa; Arthropoda; Insecta; Lepidoptera; Bombycidae. The record is from RNAcentral.